GAUGAACGCUGGCGGCGUGCCUAACACAUGCAAGUCGAACGGAGUCCAGCCUUUAAGACCUUCGGGUCAGAGAGGGGAAGACUGAGUGGCGGACGGGUGAGUAACACGUGGGCAACCUGGCUCAUAGAGGGGGAUAACAGAGAGAAAUUUCUGCUAAUACCGCAUAAGCACACACUGCCGCAUGGCAGAGGUUGAAAAGAGAAUCGCUAUGAGAUGGACCCGCGUCUGAUUAGCCAGUUGGCAGGGUAAGAGCCUACCAAAGCGACGAUCAGUAGCCGAUCGGAGAGGAUGAACGGCCACAUUGGGACUGAGACACGGCCCAAACUCCUACGGGAGGCAGCAGUGGGGGAUAUUGCACAAUGGGGGGAACCCUGAUGCAGCGACGCCGCGUGAGUGAAGAAGUAUUUCGGUAUGUAAAGCUCUAUCAGCAGGGAAGAUAAUGACAGUACCUGAAUAAGAAGCCCCGGCUAACUACGUG
This 478-nucleotide ribosomal RNA is filed under the name uncultured bacterium. RNAcentral describes it as "partial 16S ribosomal RNA". It matches the Rfam family "Bacterial small subunit ribosomal RNA", at positions 28 to 507 of the family's 1533-position model. The record is from RNAcentral.